RNAcentral lists this ribosomal RNA (253 nucleotides) under uncultured bacterium. RNAcentral's name for it is "partial 16S ribosomal RNA". It matches the Rfam family "Bacterial small subunit ribosomal RNA", at positions 524 to 776 of the family's 1533-position model. The record is from RNAcentral.
UACAUAGGUCUCAAGCGUUGUUCGGAUUCAUUGGGCGUAAAGGGUGCGUAGGUGGUGGGGUAAGUCGGAUGUGAAAUCCCGGGGCUCAACCCCGGAACUGCAUUCGAUACUGCCUUGCUCGAGUACUGGAGAGGAGACUGGAAUUUACGGUGUAGCAGUGAAAUGCGUAGAUAUCGUAAGGAAGACCAGUGGCGAAGGCGAGUCUCUGGACAGUUACUGACACUGAGGCACGAAGGCCAGGGGAGCAAACGGG